UGCAAUUUUAACUUUGCCCAUUUGGACCAUAUUGUGUGAUAUAUUUUAUUUGUGUAUACUUUGCUUGUUUGUGUGGUCUUUGACCAUUAAUGUACAUAAUAAUCAUAAAAACCCUAAAAAAAAUUUGAGUGGACUGUUGGCUGGAUCUUGAACAAAUAGACUUAGAAUCUAGGCAACCUUCCUAUGCUAAUGGACUUGGCCAAUGCCAACUUGUUGAAGAACCAAG
This 226-nucleotide long non-coding RNA is filed under the name Lathyrus oleraceus (garden pea). RNAcentral's name for it is "Pisum sativum (pea) long non-coding RNA (PSAT_LNC015922)". The record is from RNAcentral. Lineage: Eukaryota; Viridiplantae; Streptophyta; Magnoliopsida; Fabales; Fabaceae.